Molecule: ribosomal RNA, 2980 nt
Filed under: Staphylococcus aureus
Lineage: Bacteria; Bacillati; Bacillota; Bacilli; Caryophanales; Staphylococcaceae
Description: 23S ribosomal RNA
Rfam family: Bacterial large subunit ribosomal RNA
Source: RNAcentral
UUAAGUUAUUAAGGGCGCACGGUGGAUGCCUUGGCACUAGAAGCCGAUGAAGGACGUUACUAACGACGAUAUGCUUUGGGGAGCUGUAAGUAAGCUUUGAUCCAGAGAUUUCCGAAUGGGGAAACCCAGCAUGAGUUAUGUCAUGUUAUCGAUAUGUGAAUACAUAGCAUAUNNNNNNNNNNNNNNNNNNNNNNNNNNNNNNNNNNNNNNNNNNNNAGAAGGCACACCCGGAGAACUGAAACAUCUUAGUACCCGGAGGAAGAGAAAGAAAAUUCGAUUCCCUUAGUAGCGGCGAGCGAAACGGGAAGAGCCCAAACCAACAAGCUUGCUUGUUGGGGUUGUAGGACACUCUAUACGGAGUUACAAAGGACGACAUUAGACGAAUCAUCUGGAAAGAUGAAUCAAAGAAGGUAAUAAUCCUGUAGUCGAAAAUGUUGUCUCUCUUGAGUGGAUCCUGAGUACGACGGAGCACGUGAAAUUCCGUCGGAAUCUGGGAGGACCAUCUCCUAAGGCUAAAUACUCUCUAGUGACCGAUAGUGAACCAGUACCGUGAGGGAAAGGUGAAAAGCACCCCGGAAGGGGAGUGAAAUAGAACCUGAAACCGUGUGCUUACAAGUAGUCAGAGCCCGUUAAUGGGUGAUGGCGUGCCUUUUGUAGAAUGAACCGGCGAGUUACGAUUUGAUGCAAGGUUAAGCAGUAAAUGUGGAGCCGUAGCGAAAGCGAGUCUGAAUAGGGCGUUUAGUAUUUGGUCGUAGACCCGAAACCAGGUGAUCUACCCUUGGUCAGGUUGAAGUUCAGGUAACACUGAAUGGAGGACCGAACCGACUUACGUUGAAAAGUGAGCGGAUGAACUGAGGGUAGCGGAGAAAUUCCAAUCGAACCUGGAGAUAGCUGGUUCUCUCCGAAAUAGCUUUAGGGCUAGCCUCAAGUGAUGAUUAUUGGAGGUAGAGCACUGUUUGGACGAGGGGCCCCUCUCGGGUUACCGAAUUCAGACAAACUCCGAAUGCCAAUUAAUUUAACUUGGGAGUCAGAACAUGGGUGAUAAGGUCCGUGUUCGAAAGGGAAACAGCCCAGACCACCAGCUAAGGUCCCAAAAUAUAUGUUAAGUGGAAAAGGAUGUGGCGUUGCCCAGACAACUAGGAUGUUGGCUUAGAAGCAGCCAUCAUUUAAAGAGUGCGUAAUAGCUCACUAGUCGAGUGACACUGCGCCGAAAAUGUACCGGGGCUAAACAUAUUACCGAAGCUGUGGAUUGUCCUUUGGACAAUGGUAGGAGAGCGUUCUAAGGGCGUUGAAGCAUGAUCGUAAGGACAUGUGGAGCGCUUAGAAGUGAGAAUGCCGGUGUGAGUAGCGAAAGACGGGUGAGAAUCCCGUCCACCGAUUGACUAAGGUUUCCAGAGGAAGGCUCGUCCGCUCUGGGUUAGUCGGGUCCUAAGCUGAGGCCGACAGGCGUAGGCGAUGGAUAACAGGUUGAUAUUCCUGUACCACCUAUAAUCGUUUUAAUCGAUGGGGGGACGCAGUAGGAUAGGCGAAGCGUGCGAUUGGAUUGCACGUCUAAGCAGUAAGGCUGAGUAUUAGGCAAAUCCGGUACUCGUUAAGGCUGAGCUGUGAUGGGGAGAAGACAUUGNNNNNNNNNNNNNNNNNGUCUUCGAGUCGUUGAUUUCACACUGCCGAGAAAAGCCUCUAGAUAGAAAAUAGGUGCCCGUACCGCAAACCGACACAGGUAGUCAAGAUGAGAAUUCUAAGGUGAGCGAGCGAACUCUCGUUAAGGAACUCGGCAAAAUGACCCCGUAACUUCGGGAGAAGGGGUGCUCUUUAGGGUUAACGCCCAGAAGAGCCGCAGUGAAUAGGCCCAAGCGACUGUUUAUCAAAAACACAGGUCUCUGCUAAACCGUAAGGUGAUGUAUAGGGGCUGACGCCUGCCCGGUGCUGGAAGGUUAAGAGGAGUGGUUAGCUUCUGCGAAGCUACGAAUCGAAGCCCCAGUAAACGGCGGCCGUAACUAUAACGGUCCUAAGGUAGCGAAAUUCCUUGUCGGGUAAGUUCCGACCCGCACGAAAGGCGUAACGAUUUGGGCACUGUCUCAACGAGAGACUCGGUGAAAUCAUAGUACCUGUGAAGAUGCAGGUUACCCGCGACAGGACGGAAAGACCCCGUGGAGCUUUACUGUAGCCUGAUAUUGAAAUUCGGCACAGCUUGUACAGGAUAGGUAGGAGCCUUUGAAACGUGAGCGCUAGCUUACGUGGAGGCGCUGGUGGGAUACUACCCUAGCUGUGUUGGCUUUCUAACCCGCACCACUUAUCGUGGUGGGAGACAGUGUCAGGCGGGCAGUUUGACUGGGGCGGUCGCCUCCUAAAAGGUAACGGAGGCGCUCAAAGGUUCCCUCAGAAUGGUUGGAAAUCAUUCAUAGAGUGUAAAGGCAUAAGGGAGCUUGACUGCGAGACCUACAAGUCGAGCAGGGUCGAAAGACGGACUUAGUGAUCCGGUGGUUCCGCAUGGAAGGGCCAUCGCUCAACGGAUAAAAGCUACCCCGGGGAUAACAGGCUUAUCUCCCCCAAGAGUUCACAUCGACGGGGAGGUUUGGCACCUCGAUGUCGGCUCAUCGCAUCCUGGGGCUGUAGUCGGUCCCAAGGGUUGGGCUGUUCGCCCAUUAAAGCGGUACGCGAGCUGGGUUCAGAACGUCGUGAGACAGUUCGGUCCCUAUCCGUCGUGGGCGUAGGAAAUUUGAGAGGAGCUGUCCUUAGUACGAGAGGACCGGGAUGGACAUACCUCUGGUGUACCAGUUGUCGUGCCAACGGCAUAGCUGGGUAGCUAUGUGUGGACGGGAUAAGUGCUGAAAGCAUCUAAGCAUGAAGCCCCCCUCAAGAUGAGAUUUCCCAACUUCGGUUAUAAGAUCCCUCAAAGAUGAUGAGGUUAAUAGGUUCGAGGUGGAAGCAUGGUGACAUGUGGAGCUGACGAAUACUAAUCGAUCGAAGACUUAAUCAA